GACGCUUGAGGGAUGUUCCAAUGCUAUAAGGAUAGGCACUGGAAAUGUUAACCGAGUCAUAAUCAAGCUUAGGCUUGGUAUCCUAUUAUUAUUUACCAAAAGAAUUCAGAAUUAAUAUUGUAACAUAGACGUAAAAAAUCUAUAAAACAACUUUUAACAACGGAUCUCUUGGUUCUCGCAUCGAUGAAGAACGUAGCAAAGUGCGAUAACUAGUGUGAAUUGCAUAUUCAGUGAAUCAUCGAGUCUUUGAACGCAACUUGCGCUCAUUGGUAUUCCAAUGAGCACGCCUGUUUCAGUAUCAAAACAAACCCUCUAUCCAACUUUUGUUGAAUAGGAUGACUGAGAGUCUCUUGAUCUAUUCUGAUCUUGAACCUCUUGAAAUAAACAAAGGCCUGAUCUUGUUUGAAUGCCUGAACUUUUUUUUAAUAUAAA
Molecule: unclassified non-coding RNA, 432 nt
Filed under: Circinomucor sp. 1 ERP-2018
Lineage: Eukaryota; Fungi; Mucoromycota; Mucoromycetes; Mucorales; Mucoraceae
Description: sequence contains 18S rRNA gene, ITS1, 5.8S rRNA gene, ITS2, 28S rRNA gene
Rfam family: 5.8S ribosomal RNA (bases 149-301)
Source: RNAcentral